Molecule: unclassified non-coding RNA, 374 nt
Filed under: Mycoplasma seminis
Lineage: Bacteria; Bacillati; Mycoplasmatota; Mollicutes; Mycoplasmatales; Mycoplasmataceae
Description: Mycoplasma sp. ARNO partial contains 16S ribosomal RNA, 16S-23S ribosomal RNA intergenic spacer, and 23S ribosomal RNA
Rfam family: Bacterial small subunit ribosomal RNA (bases 1-100)
Source: RNAcentral
UAGUCAACUACGGAGACAACUGCCUAAGGCAGGACUGGUGACUGGGGUGAAGUCGUAACAAGGUAUCCCUACGAGAACGUGGGGAUGGAUUACCUCCUUUCUACGGAGUACACAUAAACAAUAUUUAUUGUUACUUAAUUACCUUAUUUUAUAAAUUAUUUCGUCAUGGGAUAUAUCUAGUUUUGAGAGGAUUUUCUCUCUAUGUUCUUUGAAAACUGAAUAGUAAAGAUAUUAAUAUAACAACGACAUCAAAAAAUAAAUUAGUCAAUUUGUUUUGUGAUACCGAGAAAUUAUUAGAAAUAAUAAUUCGUUAAAAUGUCUUUGAAUACAUCAACAACAAUAGGAAAAUAUUGUUACAACUUUUAAAUAAGUAA